AACGAACGCUGGCGGCAGGCCUAACACAUGCAAGUCGAGCGAGGACUUCGGUCCUAGCGGCGGACGGGUGAGUAACGCGUGGGAACGUGCCCUUUGCUUCGGAAUAGCCCUGGGAAACUGGGAGUAAUACCGGAUGAGCCCUUUGGGGCAAAGAUUUAUCGGCGAAGGAUCGGCCCGCGUUGGAUUAGGUAGUUGGUGGGGUAAUGGCCUACCAAGCCGACGAUCCAUAGCUGGUCUGAGAGGAUGAUCAGCCACACUGGGACUGAGACACGGCCCAGACUCCUACGGGAGGCAGCAGUGGGGAAUCUUAGACAAUGGGGGAAACCCUGAUCUAGCCAUGCCGCGUGAGCGAUGAAGGCCUUAGGGUUGUAAAGCUCUUUAAGCUGGGAAGAUAAUGACGGUACCAGCAGAAGAAGCCCCGGCUAACUCCGUG
Molecule: ribosomal RNA, 433 nt
Filed under: uncultured bacterium
Lineage: Bacteria
Description: partial 16S ribosomal RNA
Rfam family: Bacterial small subunit ribosomal RNA
Source: RNAcentral